AAUAGAUACCCGGGUAGUCCACGCCCUAAACGAUGUCAACUAGCUGUUGGGGCCUUCGGGCCUUAGUAACGCAGCUAACGCGUGAAGUUGACCGCCUGGGGAGUACGGUCGCAAGAUUAAAACUCAAAGGAAUUGACGGGGACCCGCACAAGCGGUGGAUGAUGUGGAUUAAUUCGAUGCAACGCGAAAAACCUUACCUACCCUUGACAUGUCUGGAAGCUUCGAGAGAUUGAAGUGUGCUCGCAAGAGAACCGGAACACAGGUGCUGCAUGGCUGUCGUCAGCUCGUGUCGUGAGAUGUUGGGUUAAGUCCCGCAACGAGCGCAACCCUUGUCAUUAGUUGCUACGAAAGGGCACUCUAAUGAGACUGCCGGUGACAAACCGGAGGAAGGUGGGGAUGACGUCAAGUCCUCAUGGCCCUUAUGGGUAGGGCUUCACACGUCAUACAAUGGUCGGGACAGAGGGUCGCCAACCCGGCGAGGGGGAGCCAAUCCCAGAAACCCGAUCGUAGUCCGGAUUGCAGGCUGCAACUCGCCUGC
This 538-nucleotide ribosomal RNA is filed under the name uncultured bacterium. RNAcentral describes it as "bacterial SSU rRNA". It matches the Rfam family "Bacterial small subunit ribosomal RNA", at positions 777 to 1319 of the family's 1533-position model. The record is from RNAcentral.